Acipenser ruthenus (sterlet) is the source of this 761-nucleotide long non-coding RNA. RefSeq lists it as uncharacterized. Lineage: Eukaryota; Metazoa; Chordata; Actinopteri; Acipenseriformes; Acipenseridae. The transcript is spliced from 3 exons. The record is from RefSeq and is a predicted model, not a curated record.
GUAGACUGUAGACUGGUGACUGUAACUUUGAGAACUGCAGAGAGGUUGUGUACAGAAGGGUAUUGAAAAGCAAAUCAAGAGAUCUUGCUAGGAACACAGGAUCGAUGAUGGAGGCAGUCUUGGAAGGAAAAAAACAAGGUUGCUUCCUGAGCUCAUCAUGGACCCAACCUGGCCUCCAUAGGCAGGACCCACCUUGAAUCUUGAAACUCUACUGGCCAUGAGACCAGACUUUAUUACCAUCAUGUGCAAGAGGCAGCAUGAGCCCAGUCAGCAGAGGAGCUGUCCGUGAUGUGCGAGAGGCGCAGCAGAGUGUGCGGAGAUCUCAAGAUCACCAGGGCGGGGCACUGUGAGCAGGACGCUCUCCGCUCCAGUGUGUGAUGGUUGGGAGAGGACGGCAGUGUGCUCCCUAUAAAACUCCUUUGCAGCUCUCCAAUCAGAGAGCUCAGAGGACUGACGUCCAGUUAUAGCCAUAGAGAUCGGGAGCCAGAUCAAAAAAUCACAGACAUACAAAAUAAUCCCACUAGAUUUUACCUAACGUGUAUUACAUCAUUUCAUAGAUCUCGCUAUUAGCUAUUAUUUUACUAACACAUAUUAAAAACAUAUCUUUCAAAAUAAAUACACGUUUAACAUAAUGUGUACAUCUUCCCUAUAGGAACAGGUUUGGUCUAUGAAGUGACACCGCAUACCAGGUGAGACUUACUGGGAUUGGUUCGUUAGCUGUGUACUUUAAAGAUCCUGAAUAUUGAUUGCAGCUUCCUCAU